RNAcentral lists this ribosomal RNA (240 nucleotides) under uncultured bacterium. Its description in RNAcentral is "partial 16S ribosomal RNA". It matches the Rfam family "Bacterial small subunit ribosomal RNA", at positions 118 to 353 of the family's 1533-position model. The record is from RNAcentral.
UGAGGAACAUGACUUUCGGCGGGGGAUAGCCGGCCCAACGGCCGGGUAAUACCGCGUACGACCUUUUGGGGACAUCCCCGAUUGGUGAAAGCAGCAAUGCGCCGAAAGAGUGCCUCGCGGCCUAUCAGCUGGUUGGUGGGUAAUGGCUCACCAAGGCGACGACGGGUAGCUGGUCUGAGAGGAUGGCCAGCCACAUUGGGACUGAGACACGGCCCAGACUCCGUACGGGNGCAGCGAGGG